Molecule: long non-coding RNA, 2194 nt
Filed under: Ananas comosus (pineapple)
Lineage: Eukaryota; Viridiplantae; Streptophyta; Magnoliopsida; Poales; Bromeliaceae
Description: long non-coding RNA (ACOM_LNC017772)
Source: RNAcentral
ACAGCUGUCGCUUCGUAUACAGAAAAAAUUUCUUUGUAUACGGCGGAUUUGUCGGCGUGCCCGGGGAACGAGACAACCGGGGCGUGACACCCGGGGCGUGACAAGCAUGCUACCCCGCUUCAUUUAUUUCUAGAAAUGUUAAUUAACUAGGAUUAGAACUUGAGACCUUUGGUACCAACCAUCAAGCACUUUGUCACAUGUGUGAGCAACUAUCAAUUAUGUAUAUUUGACUUUUUAAAAUUUUUAGUCUUCGAUUUUAAAAUUUUAAAAUUUUGAAAUUUUAAAUUUUAAAUUUAGAUACUAAAUUUAAAUUUUUAAUUUUCGAAUAUCAAAUUUUAAGUUUCAAAAUUUGUAGUUUUAAAUUUAAAAAUUAAAAAUUAAAAAUUAAAAAUUAAAAAUUAAAAAUUUUAGAAUUUAGAAUUUAACAUUUAAAAUUUUAAAAUUUAAAUUAUAAGUUUAAUUUUUAAAACUAUAUGAAUCAAAUUUUUAAUCUUUAAUUUUAAAAUCUUUAAUUCUAAGUAAAAAAGGAUAUAUUAAUAGUUAUAUAUUGAUUAGUGACAAUAUUUCGUAACAAGUGCCGCUAGUUUAUUACAUUUAGCGGCAUUCACUAAUUUAUGCUACUAAUUUAUCCUAUUUUGCAACAUUAAUAGUAAAUUGCUGCUAAAUAAUUAAAUAUAGUGGCAAUUAUAAAGUAAUGCUUGUAAAUUAAUAUAUUAAUUAAUAUGAUUUAACUAAAUAUUGCGGAGAAAAUUUAGUGGCAUUUAGCAAUAAGUGCUGCUACUUUUUUACAUUUAGUGUCAUUUUGUAUAAAAUGCUGUAAACUUUAGCGGCAUUCACUAAUUUAUAUUACUAAUUUUAUCCUAUUUUGCAACAUUAAUAGUAAAUUACUGCUAAAUUAAUAAAUAUAGCGGCAAUUAUCAAGUAAUGCUGCUAAAUAUAUUAAUUAUCGUGAUUUAAAUAAAUGUUACGGAGUAAAUGCCGCUAAAUUAUGAAUUUGUUGUUGUGACUAUUUAUGAAACUAUGAGGUAACACAUGGCCAUAAAGGUGCUAAACCUAUUCGGUGAACUUCUCAAUUAAGUUUAUAGACCUAUGUGUGUGUUAUUUUCGGUUCUGAUAAAUAGAAUCUUGAUUUAAUCUUUGGCCACCAUUGAUUUUGUUGGAAUUUUGAGAUAAUUACACUAAUUGAGGAUUUAAUCGAAAGACACCUUAUUGUAUGCAUAAGUCUAUUUUAAAUCAGUGUUACAAUCUAGUGGGGGAUUAUUAGUAUAGAUUGUAAUAGUGGAAGUGAGAUUAGUGAAUAGUUGUAUCUCUUUAAAAGAGUAGUUAUUCUUAUGAAAAGAUUCGUCUUUUUAUUUGAUGUAAAGAUAUGUCUCUUCACGAAGAGAUAUAUUUCUUCAUGAAGAGAUAAAACUUUUGUGAAAGAAUGUCUUUUUACUAUUUUGUGAAAGGACGUGUUCUUUUGUGAAAAGAUAUAAUUUUAAAAACUAUGCCUUUUCAUCGUAUCAAUUCAUCUUUUAUAAAUAGAAGAUGUUUGAAGGCUUCAAGGGCAAUACAAUUAAUUUUUUCUUCUUCCUAAUUUUUCAUACUGAUUCUUAAGAAUGAAAUUCUUGAAGGAAAGUCUUCAAAAGUGCUAUUUGCAGUCUUUCGACGGUCUUGUUGGAUCUUGGAGGUGAUUUGCUAAUAAUCUGACAGCAUACAUUCGAGUGGGGGCAAAUAUCACCUUAAAAAAAGUGAACUUACAUGCCUCAAGACCAUAAUUUACUUGAUCUCCAUUCAUAUCCUCCAACACUUCCUGCUUGGCUUAGUCUAGUUGCAUCAACUUUCAAUGUGCUGCAAAUCUAUAAUCUGAGUAAGAGGUUUGCCCUAGACGUUGCACGGAACAUAUGCUUAUUUUUAUCUAAAAUGAGAAGCAUGGCUCUAGCCUCUAUUUGAUCCUUAACGAGUAAAGGCCCGCGCUUCGCAGCGAAAAACUUACGAAGAAAAAUCGAAAUAAAUAAUUAAAUUUUAAAUUUUUAAAAUAUUUUAUUAUUCAAAAUUUAAAUUUAAAUUUAGAAUAUAAAAUGCUGAAGCUUAAAAUUUAAAAUUUAAUAUAUCAAAUUGAAAUUUCAAUAUUUAGAAUUUAAUAUUUGGAUUUUUUAAAUUCAAUUUAUAAUUAUAUAUAUAAUUCUCUCUCCCUCCCUCUCUUUCUCUCUCU